AGUGAACGCUGGCGGUAGGCCUAACACAUGCAAGUCGAACGGCAGCACAGUAAGAGCUUGCUCUUACGGGUGGCGAGUGGCGGACGGGUGAGGAAUACAUCGGAAUCUACUUUUUCGUGGGGGAUAACGUAGGGAAACUUACGCUAAUACCGCAUACGACCUACGGGUGAAAGCAGGGGAUCUUCGGACCUUGCGCGAUUGAAUGAGCCGAUGUCGGAUUAGCUAGAUGGCGGGGUAAAGGCCCACCAAGGCGACGAUCCGUAGCUGGUCUGAGGGGAUGAUCAGCCACACUGGAACUGAGACACGGUCCAGACUCCUACGGGAGGCAGCAGUGGGGAAUAUUGGACAAUGGGCGCAAGCCUGAUCCAGCCAUACCGCGUGGGUGAAGAAGGCCUUCGGGUUGUAAAGCCCUUUUGUUGGGAAAGAAAAGCAGCAGGUUAAUACCCCGCUGUUCUGACGGUACCCAAAGAAUAAGCACCGGCUAACUUCGUG
RNAcentral lists this ribosomal RNA (492 nucleotides) under uncultured bacterium. RNAcentral describes it as "partial 16S ribosomal RNA". It matches the Rfam family "Bacterial small subunit ribosomal RNA", at positions 29 to 507 of the family's 1533-position model. The record is from RNAcentral.